This is a long non-coding RNA of Clupea harengus (Atlantic herring), 1709 nucleotides long. The record is from Ensembl. Lineage: Eukaryota; Metazoa; Chordata; Actinopteri; Clupeiformes; Clupeidae.
ACACACACACACACACACACCUCAUACAACGCCACCGCCAAAGGACGCAAGGCCAGCAAGUGAAAUACAGACUAGCACACACACCUAUACACAAUUCUACCGUCAAAGGCCGCAAGGCCAUUAAGUGACUUGUACAACACACACACACACACACACACACACACAAACACACAAACAAACAUAUACACCUCUACCGUCAAAGGCCGCAAGGCCAUUAAGUGACUUGUACAACACACACACACACACACACACACACAGCGCCAAGGCCAAGAUGGCCAGCAAGUGACUUGCUCUUUUCUCUUUUGCUCUAGUAGAACUGUUUUAUGAUUGUUUUUUUAAUCAGUUUUAUUUUGAUCACUGUGUCUAUUGCGUUAGCCUUAUCAAAUCUCUUAAUGUUAUCGUUAUCUCUUCAAAUCCAGCGUUCACAUCAUGGAAAAUGACUUCCUGUUCCUCUUCAAAUCGAGUUAGCAAAGCGCUAAGUGGCAUUAGCAGUCUUCACCCUUCCCCCGUCGCCAUGGAGACUGGAAUCCUUUUGCACUGAGUCAUUGGUUCAUGAGUCCUCUUGUCCUGGGAUGUCAUUGGCUGCAGGCCAACCACACUAACCAAUCACAUGCCGUGAUACUCAUACUUCCCUAAUGUCUUAAGGCAACCUAAGCUCUCAGGCUCUCUGCAUUUAUGAAGCACUGGAGUCAGUAUGACCCAUUAGAGGCCGUUCCUGUACACACCCCAUACACACACACACACACACACAGUAUGACGCCACAGCUUCCUGUGAUAACCAACACUUGACACGAGUGCUUAACAUGUCAGCACCACCUGAACUCAGAGAAACAGCGCGCAGAUACGAUACGACUAGCUGUCCUCACGCCGAAUGAUCCGAAGGAAUCACCUGUCGACAGGUGAUUCAGACCAAGGUAAAUGACUACCUGUCGACAGGUGAUUCAGACCAAGGUAGAUGACUACCUAUGGACAGGUGAUUCAGACCAAGGUAGAUGACUACCUGUGCACGUAUAACUGAGUCACAUACCUCACCUGUGAAAAGGUAGUUAAACUUGGAGGUGUUGAAGAGAUGGAGGCGCUUACACCUUUUCUCAGGUGAUUCAAACGUAGCUUACCUUUUGCACAGGUAACGGAGAGUGCCGCCUGUGUGUCGACAUUCACACAGGGUCACCUAGAGUGGCGUCUGCCUGUUUAUUGCCUUCUUCCUCGCGUACCCCGCCGGAUCAAUCUAUAGAAUUGCUACCCCCACCUGCGUCCAGGUAACUACAACAGGUCUCUAGAAGUACAUCUGUGUGCAGGUGAUUGAUUGAGCCACAGCUCUGGGAGAGCAGGUGUAUGUAUGCAGAUGAUCUGUAAUACUGUGUCAACAUGUUCAUUAUUAAACUCCAUUCACUCACUAACUGAGGCAGGUUUGGUUUAUUGUGUGAAAAAAAAGAUGGUUUUACAUUAAUAAUGUUGUCAUUAAUGCUUUCAGUGUUGGUAUUGCAUUUCCCCAACAUACACAUUUUCAUAAGUUGCCUCUGGAACACACAUUUCUAGAUGACUUUAAUACGAUCAACGGUGAUUUAAAACACACUUCUAGAUCACUUUAAUACGUUCAGCUGUGAUUUAAAACACACUUCUGUCACUUUAAUAGGUUCAGCGGUGAUUUAAAAACACACUUCUAGAUCACUUUAAAAGUAACAGUAUGUAGCAAUUGUACUUCAGGG